GCUGCAGGGGUGAGUCCCACAUCGCUACAGUAACACAAUAGGGUCCUGAUCUCUCGUUGUGGCCUCCAGUUGCUACUGUAAUAUAAAUAACAUUUUUUAAUUAAUUCAAAAUUACAGUUUACAAAGGAACCUGAUUAGUAAGUUUUAAGUAGUUGAAAAAAAUUAGAGGCAAAGGAAAGAGAAUUUAGAAUAUGUCAGAUCAGAAAUGCAUAUCUGCUGUAGCCGUAUUGUACUGUGGCUGAAUUUUAAAAGGGAGUUGAUCAUUUUGACCAGUAAUGAAGUAUGUAAUAAACAACAUGAUACAGGUAAGGAGAAUCCAAUAUAGUACUUCAAUAAAUAAACUGACUGCCCCAGUGAUUGGGAAGGAAUCCUGUUCCUUGCUUGCAUUUUUAGCUUGGAGCAUACUUGUUGUUUUCAUUGCAUGGAGGACUUUUGCCUUAUUCUGAAUUUUCAAGUAUUUGGCCACUUUUAGAGGCAGAAUGAAAGAAAAUGGAUUUGUGACCUGAUCCAGUGUAUCAAAAUCGUCUGUACCUAUAUCUUAUAGGUUCAUAUGACUCCAACCUACAUUGUCCACCUUUUCAUUUGAUGUAGUGUAUUGUCUUAAUGUUCAGCCCAGUCCUUGAUUUAAGAUCCAUUCAUACAGUGUACAGCCUCAGCUUCUCAAGCAACUUUGUGUCCUGAAAACAAAACAAUGACCAGGGAUCCUCCAACUAACCACUGGUUAUGUUUUUAAAGGACCAGAAUUGGAGGCUCCAGCAAUGUUGUCACUUCUGUUCUUCUCAUAAUAAGUCCAGAAUAGCAUCAGCAGGCUAGCUAAUACAGUAAUAAUAAAAUACCAGUGCAGUGGGGAAUAAAUCAGCUUCGGUUAUCCUUUCCUGCAGCAGAAAGGACAUCACUAAGUGCCAGACUUUUCAAAUGAACUCACCAGUUUGAAUAAAGCACUUUUCGAAGAUCUGACUCUUAUUUAAAUGCUUAACUGGGACUCAAGAUCUUUUGAAAAUCUGGCCCCAAUAGUGACUGCUGAGCACACGAAAAUCUGCCCUCAAAGGGCUCAGAAUUUUUAGGGUGCCAGUGUUAAAUGGUUUCAAUGGGAAAUGCUAGCAGUGCAGUCACUCCAAUAAAUAAUCAUUACUAACCUGUUGCUUCCCUAGUAUUUUACAGCUCUAGUUGUCUACAUGUUCUGCCUGCAAAACAGAGUGAAUCUGGUCCCUGAAUGAACCAUUCAGUGCUGAAAGAUGACCUUGCUGUAGUCUCAGAGCAGGAGCGAGGUUGAUGGGAGGCAGAGCCGAGGAUGUCUCUACUCUUGGUGAAAGCCACAAGGGGGGAAAAAAAUCUCAUUAACUCUUGGCCAGUGGACGUUAUGCAGCCAGAAUACUCUAUGUACACACAGCACGUUGUAAUUGCUGAAUGUUUCUAGGCUGAUGUUGAAACCCUGCCAAGCUGUCAAUCACAAUCUAAAGUGUAAAACAGCUUGGAAAGCCCCUGUCCGUGAAGAAGAGUCGGUAUGGCAGAAGAUUGGAAUAUUGGGCGUAAUACAGAUCUGUCAGUCUAUCAUCACUUGAAGAAAGAAUAUCAUUUAUGAGCGCCAGUGCUGCCCUUAUUCAGUGCCAGCUUAAUCAAUUGAGUCUGAAGAGUUUCCCCCACCAGCAGCCGUGUAUGAGGUGGCCCUCCUGUGGGUCCAAACAGAGCCGAUGCUGUCUCGGCAACUCCUCUCAUCUUUUAAAAGAAAAACCUGACUGACUAUCAACAAAAUUUGCCUCAAAAGAGGAGAGAGAAAAAAGAAAAACUGACAAGUACACUAAGGGUCUAAGAUGCAGCAGACAACAUCCAAACGGUGCCGUCAGGAGCCCCAGUCGUGGACUAGGAUCCCACUGUGCUAGGUGCUGUACAAAUAGAGUCCUGCCCCCACAAUCAAACUGUACAACAAGCAACAGCAGAUGGAUACAGACAGAUGGAGUGCAAAGAAACAAUCCAACAAUAUUGGUCAGCAAGGCAAUGGUAUCCGCACCGGGGCAGUCAAACCGUUGUCAAGCUUUUUGUGGGCAUCACACCAAGGCAAAACCUAUUUUGAUACCCUGAUCUCGGAGGGGAAUCGUAGCUGUUGAAGCUGAGAUCCACAAGGCGGGGACUGAGGUGCUGCAUUGGAAGAGGAACUCUGGAACCUGGGUCUCUCACCACCCAGACUUAUGGAAAGAGACCUUCUAAAAACAUUGAAGUGUAUUACCGGCAUGCAAAACCUUAAAUCAGAGUGACUAAAUGAAGACUCGGCACAGCACUUCUGAAAUGUUGCCAACCCCUGCCCUAGAGGAUUUUGGAGUGCCUAUAGGAAGCUUAGACCUACCUACAUCUCCAUGUGGAAGAUGGAUUAACACCUGAGGGCUGGUGACUCUUCAAUAGACUCCAUCAAUCAAAUCAGGCAGAGUAAUCUUUAGAGAGAGAGCAGAUUCUCUGAGGUGUAUCAGUAUGGAGUGGUUCACUGCCCUGAGUGAAUACCAGCUAGGAUCCAGAAAGAGCCUGUGAUUUGUGGCCUUUGUUCCAUUCAACUCAAUAUUCAAGACCACUAUCGAAGUUACAGCUGUGCACCAGGAUACCUGCGAAGAACAGACCAGACAGACACAUAAGAACAGUCCUUGAUCCUUAAGGCUGGAGGACCACUCACCAACUUUCUGACUGGAUAGAAUUUACAAGUGCAAUAUAUUGAGCUAUACAAAAAGAAGCUACAGCAAUAUUAACAAGUACUAGGCAAAUAACAGCAUCACUUAAUAUACUAUUUAGAGCACAAACCUGUGUUAAUAAAACCCACAUUUGUAAAGGAAGAAUUAGACCAAUUAGUUAAAGGGACACAGUUAAAACAAAGAUGGUAUAAAAACAGCUGAUAUGCAGGUAUCCUGUAAAACUGUAUCCUGAAUAGUAAACUUGAUAAGUACCUGGAUCAUCGUUUGCUUCAUCCUCAUCUGCACUAAUCCCUCUUUCAAUUUCAAAUAUUUCAAACAGAUUAUUGCUCACUCCAGGCUGUCGUGGAACUGGAAGAGAAAGUAAUUUUUAAAGAAAUGAAUGAGGUAGAUAAAAAUAGUCAAUGACCUACUUACUUAUCUUUAAUAAAAGGCAGAGAGAAAGCCUCAGGCUUAUGCUUUUCUUGAUUAAUUCAAUAUAUUUAAUUAAAUCUCACAUGAAGAUUCAUAAA
Molecule: long non-coding RNA, 3184 nt
Organism: Mauremys reevesii (Reeves's turtle)
Lineage: Eukaryota; Metazoa; Chordata; Testudines; Geoemydidae
Exons: 11
Source: RefSeq, a predicted model, not a curated record